This 525-nucleotide ribosomal RNA is filed under the name Fusarium verticillioides. RNAcentral describes it as "eukaryotic LSU rRNA". The stretch from base 159 to 312 matches the Rfam family "5.8S ribosomal RNA". Lineage: Eukaryota; Fungi; Ascomycota; Sordariomycetes; Hypocreales; Nectriaceae. The record is from RNAcentral.
GAGGACAUUACCGAGUUUACAACUCCCAAACCCCUGUGAACAUACCAAUUGUUGCCUCGGCGGAUCAGCCCGCUCCCGGUAAAACGGGACGGCCCGCCAGAGGACCCCUAAACUCUGUUUCUAUAUGUAACUUCUGAGUAAAACCAUAAAUAAAUCAAAACUUUCAACAACGGAUCUCUUGGUUCUGGCAUCGAUGAAGAACGCAGCAAAAUGCGAUAAGUAAUGUGAAUUGCAGAAUUCAGUGAAUCAUCGAAUCUUUGAACGCACAUUGCGCCCGCCAGUAUUCUGGCGGGCAUGCCUGUUCGAGCGUCAUUUCAACCCUCAAGCCCAGCUUGGUGUUGGGACUCGCGAGUCAAAUCGCGUUCCCCAAAUUGAUUGGCGGUCACGUCGAGCUUCCAUAGCGUAGUAGUAAAACCCUCGUUACUGGUAAUCGUCGCGGCCACGCCGUUAAACCCCAACUUCUGAAUGUUGACCUCGGAUCAGGUAGGAAUACCCGCUGAACUUAAGCAUAUCAAUAAGCGGAGG